RNAcentral lists this ribosomal RNA (533 nucleotides) under uncultured Pantoea sp. Its description in RNAcentral is "bacterial SSU rRNA". It matches the Rfam family "Bacterial small subunit ribosomal RNA", at positions 505 to 1039 of the family's 1533-position model. Lineage: Bacteria; Pseudomonadati; Pseudomonadota; Gammaproteobacteria; Enterobacterales; Erwiniaceae. The record is from RNAcentral.
GUGCCAGCCGCUGCGGUAAUACGGAGGGUGCAAGCGUUAAUCGGAAUUACUGGGCGUAAAGCGCACGCAGGCGGUCUGUCAAGUCGGAUGUGAAAUCCCCGGGCUCAACCUGGGAACUGCAUUCGAAACUGGCAGGCUAGAGUCUUGUAGAGGGGGGUAGAAUUCCAGGUGUAGCGGUGAAAUGCGUAGAGAUCUGGAGGAAUACCGGUGGCGAAGGCGGCCCCUGGACAAAGACUGACGCUCAGGUGCGAAAGCGUGGGGAGCAAACAGGAUUAGAUACCCUGGUAGUCCACGCCGUAAACGAUGUCGACUUGGAGGUUGUUCCCUUGAGGAGUGGCUUCCGGAGCUAACGCGUUAAGUCGACCGCCUGGGGAGUACGGCCGCAAGGUUAAAACUCAAAUGAAUUGACGGGGGCCCGCACAAGCGGUGGAGCAUGUGGUUUAAUCGAUGCAACGCGAAGAACCUUACCUACUCUUGACAUCCACGGAAUUCGGCAGAGAUGCCUUAGUGCCUUCGGGAACCGUGAGACAGGU